Molecule: ribosomal RNA, 425 nt
Filed under: uncultured bacterium
Lineage: Bacteria
Description: partial 16S ribosomal RNA
Rfam family: Bacterial small subunit ribosomal RNA
Source: RNAcentral
GUGGGGAAUAUUGCACAAUGGGGGAAACCCUGAUGCAGCGACGCCGCGUGGAGGAUGACGGCCUUCGGGUUGUAAACUCCUUUUGUCAGGGACAAUGGUGAUGGUACCUGACGAAUAAGCCACGGCUAACUCUGUGCCAGCAGCCGCGGUAAGACAGAGGUGGCGAGCGUUGUUCGGAAUUACUGGGCUUAAAGGGCGCGUAGGCGGUGGUGUAAGUCUGGGGUGGAAUGCUACAGCUCAACUGUAGAGCUGCCUUGGAAACUGCAUUACUUGAGUCGGUGAGGGGAAGGCGGAAUUCCUGGUGUAGCGGUGAAAUGCGUAGAUAUCAGGAGGAAGGUCUGUGGCGAAGGCGGCCUUCUGGCACUUGACUGACGCUGAGGCGCGAAAGCGUGGGGAGCAAACAGGAUUAGAUACCCUUGUAGUCC